GAUGAACGCUGGCGGCGUGCCUAAUACAUGCAAGUCGAGCGAACAGACGAGGAGCUUGCUCCUCUGACGUUAGCGGCGGACGGGUGAGUAACACGUGGAUAACCUACCUAUAUUACUGGGAUAACUUCGGGAAACCGGAGCUAAUACCGGAUAAUAUAUUGAACCGCAGGGUUCAAUAGUGAAAGACGGUUUUGCUGUCACUUAUAGAUGGUUCCGCGCCGCAUUAGCUAGUUGGUAAGGUAACGGCUUACCAAGGCAACGAUGCGUAGCCGACCUGAGAGGGUGAUCGGCCACACUGGAACUGAGACACGGUCCAGACUCCUACGGGAGGCAGCAGUAGGGAAUCUUCCGCAAUGGGCGAAAGCCUGACGGAGCAACGCCGCGUGAGUGAUGAAGGUCUUCGGAUCGUAAAACUCUGUUAUUAGGGAAGAACAAAUGUGUAAGUAACUAUGCACGUCUUGACGGUACCUAAUCAGAAAGCAACGGCUAACUACGUG
Molecule: ribosomal RNA, 497 nt
Filed under: uncultured bacterium
Lineage: Bacteria
Description: partial 16S ribosomal RNA
Rfam family: Bacterial small subunit ribosomal RNA
Source: RNAcentral